GUCAGUUUGUCCGAGUGGUUAAGGAGUGAGACUUGAAAUCUCAUGGGCUCUGCCCGCGUAGGUUCAAACCCUGCAGCUGACG
Molecule: transfer RNA, 82 nt
Organism: Absidia repens
Lineage: Eukaryota; Fungi; Mucoromycota; Mucoromycetes; Mucorales; Cunninghamellaceae
Rfam family: tRNA
About the family: Transfer RNA (tRNA) molecules are approximately 80 nucleotides in length.
Source: Rfam